CCUACGGGUGGCUGCAGUAGGGAAUAUUGGUCAAUGGGCGGAAGCCUGAACCAGCCAUGCCGCGUGCAGGAAGAAGGCCCUCUGGGUUGUAAACUGCUUUUGACGGGGAACAAAUAGCCGCUGCGGCGGAAGUUGAGUGUACCCGUAGAAUAAGCCACGGCUAACUACGUGCCAGCAGCCGCGGUAAUACGUAGGUGGCAAGCGUUGUCCGGAUUUAUUGGGUUUAAAGGGUGCGUAGGCGGCCCCCUAAGUCAGUUGUGAAAUAUCCCGGCUCA
Molecule: ribosomal RNA, 275 nt
Filed under: uncultured bacterium
Lineage: Bacteria
Description: partial 16S ribosomal RNA
Rfam family: Bacterial small subunit ribosomal RNA
Source: RNAcentral